RNAcentral lists this long non-coding RNA (13191 nucleotides) under Ananas comosus (pineapple). Its description in RNAcentral is "long non-coding RNA (ACOM_LNC036329)". Lineage: Eukaryota; Viridiplantae; Streptophyta; Magnoliopsida; Poales; Bromeliaceae. The record is from RNAcentral.
UCAAGCUAGGGUUAGAGAAAACUCACCGAUUGCGAAGGAAGCUCUCUCGAUCUCCAAACGGGAGUUAGAGUCCUUCCAAUCUAACCUAAACAAAGGUUCUAAACCCAUCAAUUUGGUACAAAAGCCCUCAAAACGAAAAUCCCCAAAUCUAACCCUAAAAUGCCAAAUCUAGGGUUUGAUCUAGUAAAAUCCAACAAAAUCCGAAUCUAGAGGAGAGAAAUUGCUACUAACCUCUUAGAAGCUCCAAACCAAGCUCCAAAGUCCUCUAGGGUUGAAGGUUGAUCCUCAAACAAGCUCCAACCAAGAUCUCACACUUCUCCAAUGGUGGAAAACCCACAAAAAGCAAGAAGGAGAAGAGAAAAGAGAUCAAAACUAGCAAAAACCCAACAAAAAUGAAGAAGAAACCAAAGGGGAGGAGUUCUCACCUUAUCUUCUCUGUUCUAGGGCUCAAAAGAGCAGCCAUGAGGGCUGGGGUGACUUAUAUAGGCGUUGCAACAAUUGCAAAAACACCCCUCUACGAAACAGUCAAAAUCUGCACUGCGUACCGGUACACGGGUUUGUGUACCGGUACACUGCCCACGAAAUGCCAAACCCGAGCCUCGGGUUCGCUGGGAAAUGCUCUGUGUACCGGUACACAACCACGUACCGGUACAGCCAUCAACCCCGUACCGGUACAGCAAGCGAACCCGUACCGGUACACGGCCUGCUGAAGGCCACCCGAGAGCUGACCAAAAAUCCAACUUUUUGGAUUUUGGUACACAGCUUUAAACCACAAUUCUCGGGACUCGAACCAUAGGUCGGAACACUGUCAACGACCUACCAGAAAGUCUGGAAAAGCUCGACACACAAAUCAAACACUCGAACCUCGCAAUUUGCAAAGGUCCAGUGUGUUACAUUCACCCCUCCUAAAAAGGAGUUUCGUCCGCGAAACUCGAAAGCAAACGUCAUACCUCAAGACUCCAUCUGAAAAAGAUGGGGAUAGCGCUCCUGCAGCGCACUCUCUAGCUCCCACGUGGCCUCGCGCUCCGCGUGGUUGCUCCAAAGAACCUUCACAUACGGAAUAUCCCGAUUCCGCAGCUUUUUCACCUCGCGAGCCAAAAUCUUCACGGGUUGCUCCUCGAAGCUCAAAUCCUCGCGCAGCUCCACUGGUAUAAUAUCCAAAACAUGAGCUGGAUCAUGAAUGUACCUCCGAAGGACCGAUACAUGAAAGACGUUGUGCACGCCCGAUAGGUUCGGUGGUAGAGCAAGUCGAUACGCUACCGGACCUACACGCUCCAAGAUCUCAUACGGUCCAAUGAAACGGGGGCUCAACUUUCCCCGAAUCCCGAAUCUCUUGAUUCCUCUAGUCGGCGAGACCUUCAAGAAAACAUGGUCUCCAACUUGGAACUCCAAGUCUCGCCGUCGUCGAUCGGCGUAGCUCCUCUGUCUACUCUGCGCCGUCAAAAGUCGCUCCCGAGCAAUUCGAACCUUGUCCUCAGCUUCCUGGAGCACAUCAGGGCCUAAAGCCAAACUCUCGCCAACUUCGCUCCAAUGAAGUGGCGAUCUACACUUCCGUCCAUAAAGUGCUUCGAAGGGCGCCAUCUUGAUGCUUGCUUGAUAACUGUUGUUAUAAGCAAACUCCGCCAUAGGUAGAUGCUGCGACCAUCCUCCCUGGAAGUCUAUCACACAUGCCCGGAGCAUAUCCUCUAAGGUCUGAAUAGUGCGCUCCGACUAUACAUCACUCUGCGGGUGGAAUGCUGUACUGAAAUCCAAUCGGGUGCCUAGGGCGUCCUGUAGACUCCUCCAAAAGUGAGACACAAACCGGGUGUCCCGAUCUGAUACUAUCGAUGUAGGCACUCCAUGAAGUCGCACAAUCUCAUCAAGGUACACUUGUGCGAGCUUCUCUCCGGUCCAAGUCGUAUGAAUAGGUAUGAAGUGCGCCGACUUCGUCAACCUAUCCACGAUCACCCAAAUAGCGUCAUGCCCCGCCUGUGAGCGUGGCAAUCCUGUCACAAAGUCCAUGGUGAUCUUCUCCCAUUUCCACACUGGAAUAGGCAAACUCUGAAGUUUUCCCGCGGGAACUCGGUGCUCUGCAUUCACUUGUUGGCAAGUUAAGCAUCUAGCGACAAACUCGCCAACAUCCUUUUUCAUCCCGGGCCACCAAUAGAGCAACUUUAAGUCCUUAUACAUUUUGGUGCCUCCCGGAUGUAUAGCAUACGGCGCUCGGUGCGCUUCUUGAAGAAUAUCUUCUUUAAUCCCCGAAUCCGCGGGUAUACAAAUCUAUCCACGGAAACGCAUCAAUCCCUGAUCGUCCAAAAGGAAAUCGCCGGUGCAACCAUCAACCAUUUUACCUCGAAUCUUUUGCAACUCCACAUCGGAAGCUUGCUUUUCUUUAAUUCUAUCCAACAAUGUAGGUUGCACCACCGAUGUCAACAACCUCAUAGGCGUGUUAGGAGUCACUAUCUCCAACUCCAACCGCUUCAUCUGCUCGAUCAACUACGGUUGAGUCACAGCAUGCAUCGCUAAGUUUUCCAUCGAUUUCUUACUUAGCGCAUCCGCCACCACGUUAGCCUUGCCCGGGUAGUAAAGAAUCGUCAGAUCAUAAUCUUUGAGUAGCUCCAACCAUCUACGCUGCCUCAAGUUCAACUCCUUCUGAGUAAAUAGGUACUUUAAGCUCUUGUGAUCCGUGUAUACUUCACACCGCUCGCCAUAAAGAUAGUGGCGCCAUAGCUUCAAUGCGAACACUACGGCCGCCAACUCCAAAUCAUGCGUCGGGUAGUUCUUUUCAUAUUCCUUUAGUUGGCGAGAAGCAUACGCGAUCACCUUGCCAUCCUGCAUCAUUACACAGCACAAUCCGUUAAGUGAAGCAUCACUAUAAACCACAUACCUUACUCCAGCUACUGGUAGGGUCAAGAUCGGGGCGGUAGUCAAUCGUUGCUUCAACUCUUGGAAGCUUCGCUCGCACGCGUCAUUCCAAAUGAACUUGACUCCUUUAUGCGUGAGCCUCGUGAGGGGAGUAGAUAACCUUGCAAAUCCCUCAACGAAUCUCCGGUAGUAACCGGCCAACCCAAGGAAGCUCCGUAUCUCUGUGACGCUCGUCGGUCUCGGCCAAUCCUUGAUUGCUUCAAUCUUCUUGGGAUCCACGGCUAUACCCGAUCCCGAAAUCAAAUGUCCAAGGAAAGCUACCUCUCGAAGCCAAAAUUCACAUUCUUUAACUUGGCAUAAAGCUCCUUUUCCCGAAAUACUUGGAGUACAAUCCUCAAAUGCUCCUCGUGAUCUGCAUCACUUCGAGAGUAGACCAAAAUGUCGUCGAUGAACACCAUGACGAACCUGUCUAGAUAAGGCUUGAAAACAUGGUUCAUUAGAUCCAUAAAAGCUAUCGGGGCAUUAGUCAGCCCAAACGGCAUAACUUUGAACUCAUAGUGUCCAUACCGUGUUCUAAAAGCCGUCUUCGAUACAUCCUCGGGCUUGAUCUUCAAUUGGUGGUAUCCCGACUGCAAGUCUAUCUUGGAAUACACGCAUGAUCCCUGAAGCUGAUCAAACAAGUCGUCGAUUUUCGGCAACGGAUACUUGUUCUUGAUCGUGACCUUAUUAAGUUCACGAUAAUCCACGCAAAGGCGAAGUGAUCCGUCUUUCUUCUUGACGAACAUAACUGGUGCUCCCCAAGGUGAAACGCUCGGUCGAAUGAAGCCUCUGUCAAACAAAUCCUGCAACUGUGCCCUCAGCUCCCUCAGCUCUGCCGGUGCCAUCCUAUAGGGUGCCUUUGAGAUUGGGGUAGUCCCAGGGACGAGAUCUACCACAAACUCAAUCUCCCUAUCAGGAGGCAUACGGGGGGAAGAGAUCUAUCGCAUCCCCGUCAAAAACAACCCCAAAUCAUGCGAAAGUAAAGAAGUGUUCUACAUACUAACUCCGAUGUUACGUUGUCAGCCGCCAACAGUAACUUCCGGGAAGUUAAAGCCAAAACACUCAAUCAACUCUAACUUUUUAGGGUUAUCAUAAUACCCAAUCAUGAUACUUCGCUCACAAGAUCGAAUAGACCUCGUCUCUCCGAGCUAUUUCCUAUAGUCCAACCGGCCUAAGUUUGCUAGGUCCACUAGGACUCAACCCUAGGCUCUGAUACAAUUUAAUCUGUCAGCCCGACCCAGCGGAACGCCGCGGCACGUGCCAGACGCCGUCAUACGUCUAAAAAACUAUAAAGCUCUAAAACAGACGAUAAUAAAAGCAGUAAUAAAAGCAUCUAGGAGUAUCAGAGCAUAUAAAUGUCUAAUGAUACAAGAAAUUCCAGAUACAAAUGCUAUAGGUAGAUCAUAGGUGGUCUCUAUACAUGGAUACAAAACUCUCACCUCACAACUACAAAAAGAAAUGUAAACACCUAGGCAAGUAUGUACCGCUUCGCUAGUAGCUAAGCGAUCCAUUGCGCGAUCCCGUGCUCCGCCGGUGCCGAAGGCUCUGAAAGUAAACUAUAAAACGGGGGCGUGAGAACUAUUAAAUAGUUCCAGUGGGCAAUUACUGAUUUCAGUGAAUGCACCACAAGGCCAAAGCACAAAAGAUUCAGUGACUAUAAAUAGUAAAACGAAGAUAAGUAAAAAUGCAACUACUAGCAACAUGAUAUCUCUACUUAGCAUAAAUAGCAUAAUUAUGAAGCAACUAUGCAUGGAGUAAAAGUCUCCAGCUAUAUAACGUUCACAUGCGAAAUAGUAAGUUCCGUUGUUUACUAUUCUAUGUCAAUGUCCAAGUAUACACUAAGUCAACAUCUGUCCACAUGUCAUAAUGAAUACUCAAAGUCAAAUCUGAAGAGACCCACCGAAGGCUGUCUAUGGCCCUGUGACCUACAGUAGGCUGUCUGGCCGGUGCGAGCCAUGGCCCGUUGUAGUCAUCAUCCACCCUAGAAUGAGCCUGGCCCAGCGCAAUCCACUCUGGCGCCCAUCCCGCACGGGAAUAUGAGGCAUGGCUAUCUCCGGAGUCCGACUGUGUAGGGAGCGACCCUCACAAGCAUGUGCGAAUGAGCACAAUGGCAAAUAGUCAAACGAUCUGUCGCAAUACAAGUCCUCAUGUCUAAUAACAUGGAAUGUGUCAAGUAUCCUAAUGGCCUAUCCCUAUGUCAUCAUGUCUCUAACAUGAGAUUAGCGAGAUAUGUAGUGGCCUAUCAAUAUGUCUCUAUGUUGCAUUUCAUAGUUUACUAUUUCAAGUGCCCUUUAUGAACUACUUGUUCUCUAUGUUGAAGCAUGGCAAUAUGUUCCAAAGUACAUAUUCUCAUAAGAGAUGUAUAUUUCCAUUGCAAAAUAAACACUUUUCCGUAUGCAUCAUUCAACCAUAUAGCUCUACUAUAUAUGAAAUUUUCAUAUACACAAGCAUGCAUUUAAGUGUUCUAAAAUUCAUAUAAUUUCCAUUUAGCAUAGAAUGAAUUUAAAAAUAUUACAACAAGUAGAAAGAGCAUAGGGGCAUUUCGCCCCAUUUCCACGNNNNNNNNNNNNNNNNNNNNNNNNNUACUCGGAUAGCUCAGCUGAAAACACUAUCCUGGAACUCUCGCAUCCACCGGAUAUCCUUGAUCUCAGGGGUUCAUCCUCGUCCCUCACCAACACUGAAGCUAAGUAGGGAGAACACAGCCCUGCUGAUCAGCUGCCGUAAUCUCGAGACGAGCGUGGAUCGUCAUCGCGCAACAAGGAACUCCAGGCAUUCCACUAAAACCACUAUGUGUCCCGCGUUGCUCUAAAAGUAAACGUGCCGAUUCUUGCAUCAAUCGUGGCAUGAUACUUGUGUCAACCAAUCCAUGCGCAAGACACAUUAAAUCCCCAGCUUGCGCAAGCUAGCCAAUCUAUAGGGCAUGAUCCAAUUCUCCCCGAAUAGGGCAACUAGGGCUAAUACUCUCAUAUAUCGCAUAAGCGUGGUCGGGAUACAACACAUGUCCCGUAUCAACAAAGAACCCAAAGAUGCAUGCAACUCGGGCCAAAAGCAUCUAUGAAUGAAUGCGAUGCACACGUUAUCACAUAAAGCCAACGAAUCUAUAUGCCAUCAGUAAAAUAGAUACACUCAACCACAUCCUCGUGCUUGCCGCUCCUCAGUCUGAGCAGGGUACAUCGCCAUCUGCGGGCCUGUCGACGAUCCCCUCGCUUCUGGCUGGAGCGGUGGCCGCCCAGCGCUGUACCUGUGUCGACGGGUCCGUGGCUGGUACGACUAGAGUGCCGGUGCCGAUUGCCGUCUUGACGGUGCGGUGAAGAAACUCCGGCACUCGGCACGACGUGGCCCUCCUGGCCACACUGGAGCACCUGACACCGCCCGCAGUGGACACUGCGGUGCGGUAAUGGGGGCACCGCAACACUACACGGGGAAGCCGGCGCAUGGAUCGGACUCCUCGCUGUCUGCUUCUGAGCGAGUCCUACUGCUUGGAGCUGCUCCUCGGAAUGCUUCGGCGGACUCCUAGAGUGCGUCGCUCGCAUCUCAGCCGCAGGGCCUCUUGGCCUUACAUACUUGUCCUAGCCUUCGCUUCCUGGACGUCGUGUUCGCCGCGCUCUCCACAUGAGCGCAGAUCCACACAGCUCCGGUAGGGUUUGGAGGUUAAAGGAUGCACAAACCGAGAUGACGGCUCGGCAACCUCGCUCGAAGAAUGGGGCUUGUCUCGUCGUUCCCGCCACAGCGAAGGCCACGCAAUGCAGAACUAGAAAACUCCAUCUCGUACGCGGCUACGUCCCUGUCACCCGCGCGCAAGUGCGCAUCAUGCUCAUCUUCCGUCUUGACCGUCGGUCGGUGAAAGUAGUGCGUCAAGAACAAUCCUUGAACCUCGUCAUAGUAUAGUGCCAAAAUCUUCGUGCGGGGUUUCCUGAGACAGCAACCACGGGUAGGCUCGCCGUCCAGAUGUCGUGAGUGCGCUGAGCCUAACUCUGUCCUUCCUCCCAACGAAUGGUGUCGCGGAAGAGCUUCUCCAAUACAUCAACCACUUCUCCACGAUCCCAGUGGUCUAAGACCUUCUUCGCGCGCGAAGACUCGGGGGCUGCUACCUCCGAACCAUUGAGGCGCUCCAUCAGUCUAUCAUGCUACGACCCCUCCAAACCCAAGUAGGGCAAAGCUUGCGUCGCAACCUGGGGCCUCUGUACAGGCGGUGCCCUACCUUAAACCUCUCUGCGGGUGCGCGGCCUGGCAGGCCGCAUCGAAAACUGGCAGCGGCGGGGACGGCGCUCUCGGUUGCAACGUCCACAAGGUGCUGGCGGCUGUAUGGGCCUGAGUCGUCCUGGAAGCUGCCGCCUGCGUGGCAAUAGUAGAUCUCAGACGCUUAUCGCGCUUCUGUCGGCGGCCGCCUCGGUCUCUUGGGCCGCUCCUGCCUGCCUGAGUGACACAUCAGUGGGGCGCGCAAGGCUGCCCUCAACUCACAGACCUCGUUAGAUCCGGACGGUAGGGAAGUCGUCGACCUCCUCGAAGUUUGCCGCAUUGUCCGCGCCAGGCACGAUGUGGGAGCCGAUAAUCGGCAUCAGGUCAUACAACAUCAUCAAAGAACAAGUUGAUAAUACUCACGCAUCGCAUUCCCCGCUCAAAGAAGACAACCCCAAAAUCAUGCAAGUCAAGAGUGUUCUACACUACUAACUCCACGAUGUUACGUGUAGCGCCAACCGUAACCUUCCGGGAAUUAAGCCAAAACACUCAAUCAACUCUAACUUUUUAGGGUUUAUCAUAAUACCCAAUCAUGAUACUUUCGCUCACACAAUGAAUAGACCUGUCUCUCACAGCCUAUUUCCUAUAGUCCGAUCCGCUAUGCGUUUGCUAGGUCCACUAAGACUCAACCCUAGGCUCUGAUACAAUUUAAUCUGUCAGCCGGACGCCAGCGGAAGCCCGCCGGCAGUGCCCAGACCGCGCACUAUACGUCUAAACAUUAAGCGUCUAAAAACAACGAUAAUAAAAGCAUAAUAAAAGGCAUUAGGAGCUACAGCAGCAUAUAAUGUUCCUAAUGUACAAGAAAUUCCAGAUACAAUGCUAAGGUAGAUCAUAGGUCGUCUCUAUACAUGGAUACAAAACUCUCACUACUCACUACAAAAGAAAUAGUAAACCACCCUAGCAAAGUAUCGCUCUCGCUUAGUAGCCCUACGAUCCAUUGCGCGAUCGCUCGUGCCUCGCCGGUGCCGAAGGCUUCUGAAGUAACUUAUAAACCGGGGGCGUGAGAACUAUUAAUUAUAGUCCAUGGCUAUUACUGAUUUCAGUGAUAUGCCCACAAGGCCAAAGCUACAAAAAGAUGUAAUGCUAUAAAUGUAGAAAUGGCGAAAGAUAAGUAAAACAUGCAACUACUAACAACAUGCACUAUCUCUACUUAAGCGAUAAAAGCAUAAGUAUGAAAGCAACUACAUGCAUGAGUAAAAGUCCUCAGCUUACAUUACGUCACAAUGCGAAAUAGUAAGUCUCCGUUGUUUUACUAUUCUAUGUCAAUGUCAAUGUAUACACCUAAGUCAACAUCUGUCCAAUGUCAUAAUGAAUACUCAAAGUCAAAUCUGAGAGACCCACCGAGCGUGCUAUGGCCUCUGGUGACCUACUCAGUAGGCUGUCUGGCCGGUGAGCGAGCUAAUGGCCGUGAGAGUCAUCAUCCCACCCUAGAUGAAUCCUGGCCACGGCAAUACCACUUCGGCGCCAAUAUCCGCACGGGCGAAUAUGAUGACGCAUUGGCUAUCACCGGAGCUUGCCACUCUGUAGGAGCGACCCUCACAAGCAUGUGCGAAUGAGCACAAUGGCCAAAGUAGUCAAACGAUCUGUCGCAUACCAAGUCCUCAUUGUCUAAUAACAUGGAAUGUGUAAGUCAUUUAAUGGCCUAUCCUAUGUCAUCAUCUCUCUAACAUGGCUAAUAUAGCAGAUAUGUAGUGGCUAUCAUAUGUCUCUAUGUUGCAGUUUAAUAGUUUAACAGUUCACAGUGCCCCUUAUGAACACUGCUGUUCUCUAUUGUUGAAGCAUGGUCAACAUGUCCAAAGUACAUAUUCCUCAUAGUAGAUUGUAUUUUCCAUUGCAAAAUAAACACUUUUUCCGUAUGCAUGCAUUCACUCUAUAGCUCUACUAUAUAGUGAAAUUUCAUAUACACAAGGAAUGCAUUUAAGUGUUCUUAAAAUUCAUAUAAAUUCCAUUUGAGCAUAGAAUGAAUUUAAAAUAUAUUUCAACAAGUAGAAAGAGCAUAGGGCCAUUUCGCCCCAUUUCCACGAAAGUCAAACCCACCGAUGACAACGAAACUCUCGUGCGCUCCCCGAGGUGUCCUCUAGUCUCGCUAGUAGCCUAGAGGUUAUAAAAGACAGUUUAGCGAGCCAAAACAUAGUACGUAGCUCAAUCAUAAGCUUCUCAAGCUAGGGUUAGGGAAAACUGCACCGCUGCGAAGGAAGCCUCUCGAUCUCAACGGAGUGUUAGAGAUCCUUGCCAAUUAACCUAAACAAGGUUCUAAAUCCAUCAUUUGUUCCAAAGCCUCAAAAAAUCCCCAUUUUGGCCCUAAUAUCCAAAAUCUAGGUUUCCGUCAAAAAAAAGAAUUCAUUACAAAUAGAGUCUAAAGGAAAGGAUCUAUUACUAACCUCUCUAGAAGCCUCAAACCAGCCUUCCAGAAGCUCUCUAGGUGAAGUUGAUCCUCAACAGCUCCAACCAAGUCCCAACGCUUCUCCAAUGUGGAAAACCCACUAAAGCAAGAAGAGAAGGAGAAAGUAGAUUAAAACCACAAAGAAAACCAUCAAAAUGGAGAAGAAUGCAAGGGAAGGAGUCUUCAUCAUUUCUCCACUGGUCUUGAGGCUCAAACGAGUACAAGGGGAGUUGGGGUAGAUAUAGGUGUUGUAACAUAUGCAAAAUCACCCUCCACGAAACGCCCCAAUACUGCAACGUUUGUACCGCGGUACACGGUUUGUUACGUACACCAACCACAUGAAUGCGCAAACCCGGCUCCGGGUUGCUCAAAUCGUCUGUGUACGGUCACGGUCCUGUAACCGGACAGCAUCAUGCGUACCGGUACAGCACAAGCGUAGCCGUAACACACCCUGAACCGCUACCGCGAGAGCAUGUACCAAAAAAUCCAAACUUUUUGGAUUUUGGUACACCGGCUUUAAACCACAUCUUUGGACUCGAUCCACUAGGUCGGACACUUGUCAACGACCCAGCAAAGUCUGCGAAAAGUCAGAACACAAUUAAUCACUCGAAACCCACAAUUUGCAUGGUCCAAAGUGCGUCACAUUAGGCCUAUCCAUACUCUUGGGAAUGUGUCAUUGUUCCCACCGACCCGUAGGAUUUCAAUUACGCAACGAGCGAAUCAUAAAGUCGCGUAGGCAACUCCGGAGUGCGGCUAUGUAGGCGGAGCGACCUCACAGAUGUGCCGAAUGAGCGCCAAAUGGCAGCAGCAUAGUCAAGUCUCAAGUUAUCCAAUGUCUGUCAUCUAACGAUUAUCGCUCACUAGCCUCCCGAAGAUUAGUUUAAGUCACAAAGGCGAAAUUUCCAAACACUCACUAACCUAGUGCGCCUUUCUUGAUAUGAAACUUAGCGCAAUUUGAUGAUUCAACAUAAGCAAGCUCCCGCAAUGGCUUAACCACUAAGUUCAACAUGUCCCGCAGGCUCGAUGCGACCCUUGAUCGAAGUUAGCUCUCUAAUUCGCAUACAUGUUUCUAGUUAAAUACCUCUAUACUGGCACCAGAUCUUGUCAUUCUUUCAGUGUUCAUAAUUAAAUCUUAAGUGUUAAAAUCUGAAUGAAUCAAGGCUCAUUAUAUUGCUUAGAAGUAUGGUACAAAGUCUGUAUAUGAAUGCCAAGGCAAAAACCAAAAGCUCUCUCAAGCAACUUCAUAAACAUAGAGGUCCUAAAAUCUUACGUAUAUGCCAAUAUAGAGGAUUUUUAGCAUUCUAAAAUUUCACAAUAAAUAUACAGUAUAACACGAAUAUGCAUGCCUUUGUCAAUUAACGCAUGAAUUAAGUUCAUCACAAAUGAGAAUUUCUCGAUUUGUGUGGCUAGGUCAAACCAGCGAACCGGUCGCGUAGUCCUCGAUUUCGCCCGAAACGAGCUUGCCGGCUCAAAUACCCUAAACAUAAUUGAAGCGAAAGAAGAAGCAGAUUAACGGGCAUUACGGUCAACUAUAAGAUCAAACUUUAAACCAAAUUUAGCAACAAGCGGACUAAAACUCAUCCUAAUGUGAGAAAUCUUCUCUCAAGGGGCUUCCAAAAGAGGGGGCUAAACCCUGUCCAUCCAAAGCAAAGUGAACGGUUCCUAAUCACAACAAUUUAGCUCAAACAGCUAAUUCAAAUUGACCCAAAAAUAAAACCCUAAACUCAUCUAGGUUUCAUCUCAAAGAACCUCCACAAAUUCAACAAGAAAGUUCUAAGAGGAAAGAUCUUGCCACUUAACUCUUAGAAGCCUCCAACCCAAGCUCAAAAGUUCUUCAACUUCAAGCCGAUCUGUUCCCUCAACUUUGCCUCCCCCAAAAAACCACAAGCUCCCAACUCCAACCGAGGGUGAGGAAGUCUCUAUCCAGCAAAAGGGAGCUUGAUCUUGUAAAACAAAGCAAAAAUCAAGUAAAACGGACAUAUGGGUGUGGAGCUCCCUUACCUUCUCCUUUAUUUUUUGGCCUGGUGGCCCAACAGGCUCAGCAGGGAGGCCUAGGUGUGUGGGGGAAUACAUAUAGAAGGUUUCCACAUACGGCGAAAAAAAAACUUCCCCUGCAGUUGUCAACUGCUCAGAAUUUCACUGGCUACCGGUAGCACGGGCCGGUACCGAGUACACAACCACACAAUUGCAAAACCCGAGCUCGGUUCGCGGGGGAAAAUGCCUGUGUACCUGUCACCAUCCGUACCGGUACACCAUCAACCUAUGUAGCCAGUAUAGCAUCACGCCUGCUACCGGUCACACGCGCCUGGUAAAGGCCUACCGCGAACUGAACCAAAUAAUCGACUCUUUUGGGUUUUUGUGCCUAGGCUUUUACAACCUCCUUUUCAGGAUGCGGCCAAGGUCGGUACACUGUCAUGCUACAGAAAGGUCUGGAAUUGCUCCGCACACACACCCACUCGAACCCUCAUAAUUUGCGGCAAGAUCCAGUGUGUUUACCCUUCCGGCUUUUGGGGGAGCCCCCCGGGCGUUGGGACAGGUUCUCACCAGUCGGGGAGACCGCGUCCCGAACCCCGAACAAGCUGCCCAAGCUCAGGCGUUAAUAAAGUGAAAGCUGGGGGUUUAUUUUUCAAUUUCGAUGUAACACAAAUGGGUUUACGUGAGGGGGUUAUGAGCUGUUUUCUCUCAUGUCUCUUCCCUCUCACAACUCCUCUCAUCUCUCUUUCUCUUUUUAGAAGACAAGAAGCGAGAGUAGAAAAAAGUCUUCUCUCUAUUAAGUCAAACCCACCGAUGACAACGAAACUCCUCGUGCGCUCCCACGAGGGUGUCCUCUAGUCUCCUAGUACCCUAGAGGUAUAAAAACAUGUGUCAUACGAGCCAAACGAACAAUACCUAGCUCAAUCAUUAAGCUUCUCAAGCUAGGGUUAGGGAAAACUCACCGAUUGCGAAGGAAGCUCUCUCGAUCUCCAAACGGGAGUUAGAGUCCUUCCAAUCUAACCUAAACAAAGGUUCUAAAUCCAUCAAUUUGGUUCCAAAGCCCUCAAAUCAAAAAUCCCCAUUUUUGGCCCUAAUAUGCCAAAUCUAGGGUUUCCGUCAAAAGAAUCACUACAAACUAGAUCUAAAGGAAAGGAUCUAGUUACUAACCUCUUAGAAGCUUCAAACCAAGCUCCAAAGCUCUCUAGGGUUGAAGGUUGAUCCUCAAACAAGCUCCAACCAAGGUCCCAAGCUUCUCCAAUGGUGGAAAACCCACUAAAGCAAGAAGGAGAAGGAGAAAGAGAUUAAAACCCACAAAGAAAACCAUCAAAAAUGGAGAAGAAUCCAAAGGGAAGGAGUUCUCACAUGUUCUCCACUGGUCUAGGGCUCAAAAGAGCUCACAAGGGGGUUGGGGUAGUAAUAUAGGUGUUGUAACAAUUGCAAAAUCACCCCUCCACGAAACAGCCCCAAUCUGCACUGUGUACCGGUACACGGGUUUGUGUACCGGUACACAACCCACGAAUGGCCAAACCCGAGCCUCGGGUUUGCCUCAAAAUCGUCUGUGUACCGGUACGCGGUCCCGUACCGGUACAGCCAUCAAUCCCGUACCGGUACAGCCACCAAGCCCGUACCGGUACACAACCUGCUGAAGGCUACCCGAGAGCUGACCAAAAAUCCAACUUUUUGGAUUUUGGUACACCGCUUUAAACCACAAU